Molecule: ribosomal RNA, 492 nt
Filed under: uncultured bacterium
Lineage: Bacteria
Description: partial 16S ribosomal RNA
Rfam family: Bacterial small subunit ribosomal RNA
Source: RNAcentral
AGUGAACGCUGGCGGCAUGCCUAAUACAUGCAAGUCGAACGGCAGCACAGGAAGCGUUCUCCUCUACGGUUGGCGACUGGCGGACGGGUGAGGCAUACAUCGCAUACUUCUAUUUCGUGGGUGACAACGUAGGACCACAUAUGCUAACACCGCAUAUGUUCAACGGCUUGAUGCAGUAGUUCAUCGGAGUUUUGCUGACACUAUUAGCUGAGGUCGGAUUAGCUAGGUGGCUGGGUAAAGGCCCACCAAGGCGACGCACCGUAGCUGGUCUGAGAGGAUGAUCAGCCACACUGGAACUGAGACACGGUCCAGACUCCUACGGGAGGCAGCAGUGGGGAAUAUUGGACAAUGGGCGCAAGCCUGAUCCAGCCAUACCGCGUGGGUGAAGAAGGCCUUCGGGUUGUAAAGCCCUUUUGUUGGGGAAGAAAAGCAGCAGGUUAAUACCCCGCUGUUCUGACGGUACCCAAAGAAUAAGCACCGGCUAACUUCGUG